GACAGAGAGAGACAGAGCAUGAACGGGGGAGGGGCAGAGAGAGGGGGAGACACAGAAUCGGAAACAGGGCUCCAGGCUCAGAGCUGUCAACACACAACCCGAUGCGGGGCCGAACUCAAGAACGGCGAGAUCAUGACCUGAGCCGAAGUCGGACGUUCAACUGACGGAGCCACCCAGGCACCCCUA
This is a long non-coding RNA of Prionailurus viverrinus (fishing cat), 186 nucleotides long. RefSeq lists it as uncharacterized. Lineage: Eukaryota; Metazoa; Chordata; Mammalia; Carnivora; Felidae. The record is from RefSeq and is a predicted model, not a curated record. The transcript has 2 exons.